AAGAAGAAAGAAAGUAUAAAAUCAUAUUCUACUUAGGUAUUUUGUUUCAUCAGAUCUGGUUGUCUACGUAUCUCCUCCAUCUUUUGUGUGCUCAGUGCUUUUGGUUCUUCGUUUAAUCAUUCCUCUUGCUGGAAUUUGUUUCUUUUUUGUGCAUCUUCGGUAAGUUAUCGUCCCUUAUUUUUGGGGGCCUAAAGCGACUGCUUUAGUGCCUUUAGGGUUGAGCCGCCCUUGAGUGUAUGAAUGAGAAAAUCAAUUUAUUUUCUUCUCCUUCUUAUUUGUAAUAAUGUUUUGUUUUUUUUAUCUCUUUUGCAUUGUUAUAACUGUUAAGUUGCUGAUUUUGCUUUACAAUGUGUAAAUGCAGGGACGAACUAGUUUGGGAUUAAGUCAUAGUUGUUGUCGUAUUUGUGUAGUACUGAUACUAAUCUCAUGAACUUGUAUAUUAGAAAGCUAACUUCUACAUACUUCUCUGUUUUUCACCCAUUUGAGGUUCGUUUCUUUAGCUACUUUUCCACCUUGUCUAGUGAUUCGCAGCAGAAAUGCGUGAACGAUGGUGAUGUUAAUGUUGUACUUGCUAGAAUAAGUCCUGGAAGUAGUGAAGCUGAGGUUCUCCAAUCAUUGCUUUCUGAUCCGGCUUGUGAUUCCAUUCACAUUACUGACAACUUUGUUGAUAGGCUUCUAUAUCGCUUCAAAGAUGACUGGAAGUCUGCACUUGGUGCUUUUAGAUGGGCUCAAUUACGUCCCCACUACAAGCCUUCACCAGAAUUGUACGAUAAGUUAGUGGAUAUACUAGGAAAGAUGAAGAAAAUGGAAAGGAUGCGUUCAUUGAUAGACGAAAUGCAUGCAGACCAUCUUAUUUCUCUUAAUACAAUAGCAAAAGUUAUGAGAAGGUUUGCAGGUGCACGAGAGUGGAAAGAAGCAGUGAGGACAUUUGAUGAGUUGGGAAAAUUCGGUUUGGAGAAGAAUACAGAGUCAAUGAAUUUGUUACUUGACACUCUGUGCAAAGAAAAUAGAGUCCAACAGGCGCACGAAAUCUUUUACGAGCUCAAGUUGCAUAUCCCACCAAAUGCAAACACGUUUAACAUUUUUAUUCAUGGUUGGUGCAAAGUGAAUCGGGUAGAAGAAGCAUACUGGACAAUUCAGGAGAUGAAAGGCAGUGGCUGUUGUCCUUGCGUCAUCAGCUACUCAACCAUCAUCAAGUCUUACUGCCAGCAAUUUAACUUCCUGAAGGUCUACGAGCUGCUUGAUGAAAUGCAAGGAGAAGGAUGUGUACCAAAUGUUGUCACUUUCACCACCAUCAUGUGUUUCUUGACAAAGUUGGGGGCAUUUGAGGAAGCCCUUAAGAUUGCUGAGCGGAUGAAAUCAGUUGGCUGUAAACCUGAUACUCUUUUUUACAAUGCUCUGAUUCAUACAUUAGGCAGGGCACACCAAUUACAAGAAGCUACUCGUAUUAUGAAGGUUGAAAUGCCCAGAAAUGGUGUUCAACCCAAUACAUCAACUUACAAUACUAUCAUUGCCAUGUUUUGCCAUCAUUUGCAAGAGGAUAGAGCGCUAGAAUUUUUAAGGGAUCUAGAAAGUUCACCAUUUUGUAAACCUGAUGUUCAAUCAUACUUUCCGCUGCUCAAGUUGUGCUUUAAAGUUGGAAAGACGGAUGAAUUCCUGAAAAAGUUGGUGAAUGACAUUGUCAAUAAGCAUCAUCUAAGUCUUGACCUAUCAAGUUAUGCACUUCUUAUCCAUGGUUUGUGCAGAGCAAAUAAAUGUGAAUGGGCGUAUAUUAUUUUUGAGGAUAUGGUCUGCCAAGAGAUUACUCCUCGAUACAAGACAUGCAGUGUUCUGCUGCAGGAAAUUAAACAAAAGAAUAUGUAUGAGGCUGCUGAUAGGAUUGAACUGUUCAUGAAGAAAAUGAAGACCGCCUGAACAUUUCCUGGAUACUAAUUUGAUGAUUCAUUUAUCAAGUAACAAGUUUCUCUUCUUGUGUGCCUGCAGCUUUCGACAGUUGUUGAAUUUGAAAUGUUGAUUUCUUGAUCUGGCUUAACACUGAAAUCUGGGAAUAGUUGCUGCAGCUGUUGCCCUGGUUUGGAUUAUCUUCCGGUUCACAAGGCAAGUGUUGGAGCAGUUCUCAGGAGUCCACUGUUGCUUUAAAAGACUAACUGCUUAGGCUAAUGUUACAAAGCUCCAUGCCAGGUUCUAGUUCAUUGCUUAUGAUCCUAGUUUUUCUUUUCUUUCUGUAGGCUUGUGAAGUUGAGUGAUAUUGAGAAUGUCUAAAAUCUAUACUUAAUUUUAUGAUUAUUGGAAUUCCAAGUUGAUGCUUAGCAGAUUAACCCUUUUCCUGAUGAUAUGUGGCAUUGGUGGAUUGUCCAUUGUCCUCUACGCUUGAGUUGCACUCACUCGCAUUUAAAUUACUUUGCCAGCGUUUGCUCUUCUUCAGGCUGCAAUAAAGAAAUGGAAUACUUACUAUUUUAUGCAUGCCUUGAGAAGGAUAAAAUGGCUUCAAAUAAGUGCAGAUUUGGUGUAUGUGCACAAAAAUAUACGACCCUUACAGUGGAGAACCCAAAAUACUUGGAUGAUGAUUUUGGAAUUCUUGAAAUUGCCAACUUCUUUUUUUGGCAUAAUCCUGGUGGCUGGUGUUUUGGGCCAACUUGCCAGCACAUUGCUUAUUCCAUCGAGUACUUGUUAUGACAACAGAGACACCGAGUUACUCUACCCACGAAGGCUUAGGUAGAUGAGAAAAAUUAUGUGUCACAUUCAUCUUUGUUGAGAUUUGAACCCUGGUCUACCGUGAUUUUCACCCACUUCAUUUACGGCUAGGCCAUACCCAUGGUGCCAGACCUAGAAGCCAUAAAUUUUUACUUUUGGAUGAUGAAAGGCUGUUGUAGAAUGCUCUGGUUUCGACUUAUUUUAAGAUUUACGGACUUUCUUUUUAUGGAUAAAACAUACAGAAAUGAAUGUGAUGUUUCAGUCCAUUAUUUUGUAAGUGACAUUGAAAUGAAUGCCUUCUCAGCCCAA
This is an RNA transcript of Solanum dulcamara, 3003 nucleotides long. It is a transcript of the gene named pentatricopeptide repeat-containing protein At3g04130, mitochondrial, with no coding region annotated. Lineage: Eukaryota; Viridiplantae; Streptophyta; Magnoliopsida; Solanales; Solanaceae. The transcript is spliced from 2 exons. The record is from RefSeq and is a predicted model, not a curated record.